Molecule: unclassified non-coding RNA, 373 nt
Filed under: soil metagenome
Description: partial contains internal transcribed spacer 2 and large subunit ribosomal RNA
Rfam family: 5.8S ribosomal RNA (bases 1-120)
Source: RNAcentral
GAUGAAGAACGCAGCGAAAUGCGAUAAUUAAUGUGAAUUGCAGAAUUCCGUGAAUCAUCGAGUCUUUGAACGCACAUUGCGCCUCAUGGCAUUCCGUGAGGCAUGCCCAUCUCAGCGUUAGAAAAUAUUCUCAAAUUUUAGUUUUGUGCUAAAAUUUGGAUCAUGUCAAGGAAGCUAUUACUAUUAUUGUGAUCGCUCUUUGGAAAUUGAUAGGUCUUUGAGUUGCUACUCAUAGAACGUGAUGAAUCUUUCUUCGUUCUAUUGUAAUUCACUCUGGUAGUCCUAAAACUUGUAUGCCUGUGGCAUAUCUUGUAAUUUGACCUGAGAUUGGGUAGGGAUACCCGCUGAACUUAAGCAUAUCAAUAAGCGGGGA